This 379-nucleotide ribosomal RNA is filed under the name uncultured eukaryote. RNAcentral describes it as "partial 18S ribosomal RNA". It matches the Rfam family "Eukaryotic small subunit ribosomal RNA", at positions 592 to 976 of the family's 1831-position model. The record is from RNAcentral.
CAAUAGCGUAUAUUAAAGUUGUUGCGGUAAAAAAGCUCGUAGUUGGAUUUCUGUUGAGAGCGACCGGUCCAUACCAUGUAUGCGUAUCUGGCUUGCUCUCGGCAUCCUCUCGAUAGACGUUACUGCGCUUGAUUGCGUGGUGCGGAUCUCGGGACUUUUACUUUGAGGAAAUUAGAGUGUUUACGGCAGGCUUUCGCCAGAAUACAUUAGCAUGGAAUAAUACUAUAGGAUCUUGGUUCUAUUUUGUUGGUUUCUAGAAUUGAGAUAAUGAUUAAUAGGGACAAUUGGGGGCAUUCGUAUCAACACGUCAGAGGUGGAAUUCUUGGAUUGUGUUGCGACGAACUACUGCGAAAGCAUUUGCCAAGGAUGUUUUCAUUGA